UACGUAGGGGGCAAGCGUUGUCCGGAUUUAUUGGGCGUAAAGAGCGUGUAGGCGGCCACACAGGUCAGCUGUGAAAACUCGAGGCUCAACCUCGAGACGUCGGUUGAAACCGUAUGGCUAGAGUCCGGAAGAGGAGAGUGGAAUUCCCGGUGUAGCGGUGAAAUGCGCAGAUAUCGGGAAGAACACCCGUGGCGAAGGCGGCUCUCUGGGACGGUACUGACGCUGAGACGCGAAAGCGUGGGGAGCGAACGAGGA
RNAcentral lists this ribosomal RNA (255 nucleotides) under uncultured bacterium. RNAcentral describes it as "partial 16S ribosomal RNA". It matches the Rfam family "Bacterial small subunit ribosomal RNA", at positions 524 to 778 of the family's 1533-position model. The record is from RNAcentral.